AUUCCGAUGUUGGCUAUUGCCAGGUGGGUAUUUAUGGGGUUAAACUUGUCUGAUUAUGAAGGGUGCAAAUGUAUAAACGUUAAGACCUAAGAGCAUACAACAGAUAAUAGCAUGAUCUUGCUGCCAAUUCUUUCACAUGGCUUUGGCAACAGAUCAAGAUGGAUCUUGAUAUACAUUGCAUAUUUGAAGUUCUAAUUUUUAUUCAAAUUUCAUGUCAUGUAUCAUAGUUUUCAUCACAAAAGACAUCGUUUUCAAAUACUUUAGUAAUGCAUGCUACUAAUGCCUUUAGAUUGCAGCAUACAAAUUCUCAUAAGUAAAAUUUACUCAUCAUUUUCAAAUGCAUUUGAUCUUAUUCUUUACUCCUAAUCAUAUCAUAGUUAUUAUGAUAUUCUGACAUAUUCAUAUUGUUACAUUUAUAUCACUAUGCUUCCUUAGCCAUCUCAAUAUGAAGCUGCCUAAAUCCGUGGCUGAUUUGUAAAGCAUGGACAAUCUUAUUGCCGUUGUAGAAUUGGUUCCAGUGUAUUUAUCAGCUCAGAAUGGCUAUAUAUGCAUAUCCUGAUCAGAAUCAUUGUUUCAAUUUCUGGCUAAUUAAGGAGCAUGUACCACAUUUUUAAAAUUUUGAAAAUUUAGAGGGAUUAUAAAAGUAGAUGAGCCAAUUUGUUUUAUGGGCUGUAUCACCAUCACCUACCAAGAUUUUGUUUCCCAUGUGUACGUCCUCUUUUGCAUAAUUGGAAUUGAGGGGAAAAAUGGUUCCUACUUUCUACUAACUCCUGCAGUAUUUGUCAACUAGCUAUCAACAUCAUUUAGUAGGUCAUGACUUACUUUCUUAGCAUGUUGCUAUUUUAUUCGUAAUAAAUAACAAAUUCUACUUUUAUAUUGUGUACUGUAAUGAUCCUAUGUACAGGGUUUAAAUUAUGUUGCAGCA
Molecule: unclassified non-coding RNA, 925 nt
Filed under: Hevea brasiliensis (rubber tree)
Lineage: Eukaryota; Viridiplantae; Streptophyta; Magnoliopsida; Malpighiales; Euphorbiaceae
Source: RNAcentral